This 230-nucleotide ribosomal RNA is filed under the name uncultured bacterium. Its description in RNAcentral is "partial 16S ribosomal RNA". It matches the Rfam family "Bacterial small subunit ribosomal RNA", at positions 561 to 790 of the family's 1533-position model. The record is from RNAcentral.
UAAAGCGUGCGCAGGCGGUUAUGUAAGACAGAUGUGAAAUCCCCGGGCUCAACCUGGGAACUGCAUUAGUGACUGCAUAGCUGGAGUACGGCAGAGGGGGAUGGAAUUCCGCGUGUAGCAGUGAAAUGCGUAGAUAUGCGGAGGAACACCGAUGGCGAAGGCAAUCCCCUGGGCCUGUACUGACGCUCAUGCACGAAAGCGUGGGGAGCAAACAGGAUUAGAUACCCCAG